CCUACGGGUGGCAGCAGUGGGGAAUAUUGCGCAAUGGGCGAAAGCCUGACGCAGCGACGCCGCGUGAGGGAUGAAGGUCUUCGGAUCGUAAACCUCUGUCAGCAGGGAAGAACGGUCACUGUGCUAAUCAGCAGUGAAUUGACGGUACCUGCAAAGGAAGCACCGGCUAACUCCGUGCCAGCAGCCGCGGUAAUACGGAGGGUGCGAGCGUUAAUCGGAAUUACUGGGCGUAAAGCGCUCGUAGGCGGUAUGUCAAGUCACGGGUGAAAUCCCCGCGCUCAACGUGGGAACUGCCUUUGAAACUGGCAGACUGGAGUGUGUGAGAGGAUAGUGGAAUUCCAGGUGGAGGAGUGAAAUCCGUAGAUAUCGGGAGGAACAUCAGUGGCGAAGGCGACUAUCUGGCACAUAACUGACGCUGAGGAGCGAAAGCGUGGGUAGCAAACAGGAUUAGAUACCCGGGUAGUC
Molecule: ribosomal RNA, 465 nt
Filed under: uncultured bacterium
Lineage: Bacteria
Description: partial 16S ribosomal RNA
Rfam family: Bacterial small subunit ribosomal RNA
Source: RNAcentral